Molecule: transfer RNA, 77 nt
Filed under: Clostridia bacterium
Lineage: Bacteria; Bacillati; Bacillota; Clostridia
Also listed under: 2 other names
Description: tRNA-Arg
Rfam family: tRNA
About the family: Transfer RNA (tRNA) molecules are approximately 80 nucleotides in length. Their secondary structure includes four short double-helical elements and three loops (D, anti-codon, and T loops). Further hydrogen bonds mediate the characteristic L-shaped molecular structure. tRNAs have two regions of fundamental functional importance: the anti-codon, which is responsible for specific mRNA codon recognition, and the 3' end, to which the tRNAs corresponding amino acid is attached (by aminoacyl-tRNA synthetases). tRNAs cope with the degeneracy of the genetic code in two manners: having more than one tRNA (with a specific anti-codon) for a particular amino acid; and 'wobble' base-pairing, i.e. permitting non-standard base-pairing at the 3rd anti-codon position.
Source: RNAcentral
CUACCCGUGGCACAGCUGGAUAGCGCGUCAGACUCCGACUCUGAAGGCCAGCGGUUCGAAUCCGCUCGGGUAGGCCA